CAAGUCCUGUAUUCGGGAGCUUGCCCUACAGGUAGUGACUAGACCACUUGCAUAUCGAACGGAUCUUACUCUAAAGGGAGUCAUUGCGAUAUUACCUAGGAAUUUACAGAAUACCAAACUUGGAUAAUAGGUAGACCACUGCAGAGAACCCUUUCGUAGCUACGUUCCCAAUAAAAAGCCGUAAUCCUUCUUUCGCCUGUUAGCCACAUCAAACCUAAAACCUAAUAAACCAAGACUCAGUCACGAAACCUCACUGCACACUAUAUCUGUCUUCAGCCAAUAAAAGACGUCUAUACUAUAGAGAAUCUGGCUCGAAAAGAAACUAGGGAUCAUGAACCCCCUCCAUAAUUCUUUUAUACAGAAUGCUCCCUUUUCCGCACGGGCUAGAUAGCAUUUCUUUUGUCUUUGUCUGGAUGAGUCUCGGAUCAGUAUAGGAUAGCACUCGUCCCUCUUAUCCUUUAGCUUUCGUGUGUCGUGGGAGUAUACCUAUAGUGAGGCAGGAUUCCAAGUUUCAUUUAUGUUUUAGAGAGGAAAUUCCACUUUUCUUUACCUUUACCGGCGGAUGUAUGAGCUGCUCUGAUCAAAUUGGUUGACUUUUACGUGAAGUUGGGCUUAAACACCGAGAGAAGAAUUCAUGAUAACUCGUAGCUACUGAAAGAGGAUAGGUUUAUGAAAUGCUUUAGUGAAUACCACCCGCCUUCCACUGGCCGAUCAAUAAUAGUAGGCAUUCCGCCAGACUCCAUGACUCGGGUUAGGUUAAUCAGCUCCACUCCCUAUGCUAUUGAUAUGCUCGAGCCUGAUCGCUCAUAUGAGGACUUCCACUUUCCAUCGGCCGGCAAGAGUUUCGUCUUACCCGCUUAAUUGCCCGAAACCAACCUUGAAAGGAAUAGUUUGAACUAAUUGCCUGUUUACCAACAAAAGUCGGGUAGGGCAGGGAAUGCCAAUGCCUUUGAUCAGAGUCAGUCAAUCUCCUACUUACUAUGCAACUCGCCCUUUGUGUCUUUAUCAUUAGGCAGCGACCCUUGUCAAGGUCUUCCUCUUGACUUUUGACUAUUAGGCUUACUAUGACCACACUGGUCACUUUCUUUCUAACCACAAACGGGAUCAAGGGCAUCAUUUACUUACAGCGGCAACUAAUUCCCUGCGAUAGAAACUUUCCAAUCUCUUAUGUUUUGGAUAAGAGAAGACUAUCUUAGCUCACGGUAUCACCUCAGUGCUUGCCCAUAAGGCGGUUUAGGUUCGAUCGGGUGCCCUUUUGAUCGAUGGGAAGCGAUAAGACCCCAAUGAGAGGAUUGGCAUGAGAUCUGUUUGGUCUCUUAGGUGAGCUCAAUCAUCAUUGCCCAAUAGCUGCUCUUUCCUUGGGGAGUGGAAAGUGGGCAUCUACCUGGCUGUUAGGCCGCCACAUCUCUUCCGCGACUCAAGAGAUCCAGUGUUCCGGCGAUUCUAGCGACCACCAAGGACCUGACUGCAUUCUUUCCUGCCGGCCUCCAAACCCAGGUGAGUAAGCACAAAACUAACGAUGUUACACUCGCGUAGGGUACGUAGCGUUCAGGAACAGGAGGUAUCAAAGGUAGAAUGGGGUACUCGCCGCUACUAGUACCAACUUCCCUGAAAUAAUGGUUCCCUAUCUGUGUGUAGCCCCGGUCGAGAGGCAAACUCGAAUAUUCAACACCUUUUUCCUUUCGCGCAAGAGAGAUCAAAGAAGCACUUUCGAGCGUCAUUUAGAUGUCCAAUCCCUACGCAGCAGAAAUGGUACACUAUCGAUCCAAGCCGGGCCGAUAAGAUGAGAUGGACUAGAAGAAAGAUGUGGCACUAUCUUUGACAGUUUUUUCGAAGUAGGGGCGCUAUGAUAGAAAGGAUUGGUUCACCCUGAGGGAAUGGUACCAUAUAUGCUUUAGCCUGUGCUUACCGACCGUCUUAAGGCCGACAUUUCCUUCGUGUGGACAGGACAGGACCUUUGUCAAGGUCUUCGUACGUGUGUAUCAAGGCAUUAUCAAGGCUUUCUACGUUGGUUGGACUGGAAAAGGACAAUGGCCUCCUAUACUUGGCCCUAAAUUCGUUACCAAAGCAAAACUCAAGCAUUCGGGUAAAAAGACAUCAACUGAGAAGAGAUUGCUUGCUCAGUCUAGGCAGGAGCUUAACUGUGUUCGGGUGCUGAAAGCCUUUCUCGGAUCAUUUGGUUGGUCGAUGUAUUAAGAGAAAGAGAACAGACAAGAAGGGGGUCAAAUACCAAGCUAAAG
This 2240-nucleotide long non-coding RNA is filed under the name Musa acuminata (dwarf banana). Its description in RNAcentral is "long non-coding RNA (MACU_LNC007529)". Lineage: Eukaryota; Viridiplantae; Streptophyta; Magnoliopsida; Zingiberales; Musaceae. The record is from RNAcentral.